UUGCAGUUAAAAAGCUCGUAGUUGGACCUUGGGCCGGGUCGGCCGGUCCGCCUCACGGCGAGCACCGACCGACUCGACCCUUCUGCCGGCGAUGCGCUCCUGGCCUUAACUGGCCGGGUCGUGCCUCCGGCGCCGUUACUUUGAAGAAAUUAGAGUGC
RNAcentral lists this ribosomal RNA (158 nucleotides) under Zizania latifolia. RNAcentral describes it as "partial 18S ribosomal RNA". Lineage: Eukaryota; Viridiplantae; Streptophyta; Magnoliopsida; Poales; Poaceae. The record is from RNAcentral.